CCUGGAGGAUUACAAACAAGAGAGAGCAUGGGGGGACUUUAAAAUGACCACAUGUGAUGAUGUCAUCCUCGCACGGCUAUCACAAGAAGAAGUCUCACUGAUGCCAUGUGAGAGAGAACGUUACAUGACGGAUACGGUCUCGUUACUGUACGGACGAGAACGCCAACCGGACAAUAAACCACGGAGCCGCUGUGCAGCUGUCAACCGACGAGCCGACACACAUCACGGCGGCGUCGUUGAAAAAUCCGGGUGAACGAGGUGGGAAGAGACAGACGUCAGCGUGCACGUACUCACCGGACGGCCUGUCCCUUCUCCGCUCGGCCUUGGCCGUGGCCCUGCGAUCGCCCGACAACAAGCUAGCGGGAGCUAAACGCGCAGCACUAGCUGCAAAUAAUGACAUUGACGUCGAACCAAAAACGGAUGAUAUGCGAGGAUACAAAGGGCAGCCGCACGCGUUGUAUCCUCUCCAUGGCUCCUAGCAUGUCUUCCCUGGGGGGCGGUGGUGGUGGGGGAGGGGGGUUGUGCCAAAAAGGCUGAAGGGAAAUGGCUGUUUCCGUAAGGAUUACUAGACACGGCUAAAGGGGCUACACGGGCUAACAGGCUAGCAACGGGGCAAGCCUAAACCCAGCACCACUCAGCUGUGCACUGGUCACGUGACACGAUGCUGCCUUCAAAGACCGUGGUGAUGUGGCGACAAUGGCCACUUCACACCGGACUAUUGAAAUAAACACACACACACCUACAGUCUAAGCAGUCUUCCAGUGAGCAAUACGACUGGUCACCUACGCUCGUAACGACCGCUCGUCGUGUUUCCAUUGCUGAACGUGCUUUGAAGGAGGCCAGUAAUGCUUGUUUUCACUUAAUUUGCCCACGAUUGAUAAACGCAGUGCACGACCGUCGCAACGAGGACGGGUUCGUUUUCAACAAAACGACCGUGAAUGGGGCCCAGCGAUGUCAAUCUACCGCUAUCCUCCAUCGAGAAAACAUCUGUGGUGAGACGCGGCACCGCUGGGUGGCAGCGUUGAAAUCAACCUCACGUUGCAGAGAGGACCCUCUAUGGAGCCAAAUUGAGGACCACAUUUUUGAUCAUUUGAUAAAAGAGUUUUGAACAUUGAAAAAUAUACCAUAAAAAUAAGUGAAUGAAUAUUAUUUUGUCGGUCAAAUAUUUCUUUGUUAUUCAGGUCAAAAUGAAAUUCUUUGGAAAAAAAUAUUUAUUUUUAUUCUUUACUUGUAUAUAUCCUCGUUUCACCAGUAAUACCAGUAAUAAUAAAGUACGUAACAUGUAUGUUACAUGCAAAACUACCUAACAAUUAUGUGGUUCCUGCAGCUGUUACGUGAAAAUGCUGUUUGGUGCUUAAACAUGCGUGAGUGAUAAUAAUCAAAUAAUAAAUACGAAUUGUCAUACAAAA
This is a non-coding RNA of Gasterosteus aculeatus aculeatus (three-spined stickleback), 1409 nucleotides long. Lineage: Eukaryota; Metazoa; Chordata; Actinopteri; Perciformes; Gasterosteidae. The record is from RefSeq and is a predicted model, not a curated record.